This is a long non-coding RNA of Oreochromis aureus, 196 nucleotides long. RefSeq lists it as uncharacterized. The record is from RefSeq and is a predicted model, not a curated record. The transcript has 3 exons. NCBI's taxonomy places the organism in Eukaryota, Metazoa, Chordata, Actinopteri, Cichliformes, Cichlidae.
AUGUCGUCAUAUUCGCCUCUGAUGGACAAAACAAGGAAGAAAAAAAGUUAAUACCGAGUGAGGGAAAUUGAAGAGAGGGCGUUUUCCCUGUUGGCCACAGGACAAAACACAAACAACCGGCUCAUCCCUGCAGUCGGAGAAAAGGCAGGGUUGUAAUGUUUCCAGCCCACCUGGAGGAUGACAAUGCAAAGAGAAA